GUGCAGUAAAGGCAGAAAGGAUAGUUGCAGAGUAGGGAAUAGAUGUGAGUUAUAGAUUAGGACUGAUGGGAAGAUUGUUUACCAUAAUUAGAGGCAAGGGGGCAUAAAGAACGAGGAAGUUACUCUUUGAAAAUAGAGAACAAAGAACAAGGAAGCUGAACAAGCUGACUCUUCUUUGAAGAGGAACCCACCGUACCCAACACCAGAAAGACUAUAACCUUGGACCAGAGAGAGAAGCAUCCCUGCUGAUGAGAAAGAACAGACACUCCCAGAGGACAAGGUCCACCUGUCAGGCAGCCACAGCCCAGCAUACUCUGGAGUCUGAGGUGGGGGUCAGUUGUGAAGAAAGGGAAGAAGGAAGAAAAAGGAUACGUUGUGCUCCGACCACAGGCCAAGGUCAGAAGACGGUAUUUACCAAGUCUCUUCCCAAAAUACUUGCAAAUGCACAUAAUCUCAAAGUGUUUUUGAGGGCUCUUCCGAUCUAAAAUUGGUCCUAGUGACAAGGGGUGUUUGGGGAAAUCAAAGGGCUGGCUUAACUAUGUAGACCUAGGUCUGGUCUUAUUUCUGGCCCAUACGAUCAUCAUGACCUUGGACAAAUGAAACUUCCUGGGCCUCAAGUUCCUUGUAUCAGAAAGGAUGGCAUUCAGCUGCGUACAACAGAAAACCAAAUCACAGUGGCUUAUCCAAGAAAAGUUCAAUUUUUCUCAAAACUACAGCGUCCUGGGCUGAUGCGGCAGCCCCAGGACGACCUCAGCAUCUCACUCCUCCUUUCUUUACUCGGCCCCAUCCUCAGGCUGUGACUUUCAUCCUCAGGUUUGUCAUCUUUUGGUGGUAAGAUGGUUGCUCUACCUCAAGCUCACAAAAAGAAAUGGGGGAAAGCAGGAAAGAAGAAAAUCUGCUUCCCCAGAGACUCUGAGGCUGCACUUGCACAUCUUAUGGAUCCAAACUGUGUCCCAUGGCUGCCCCUAGAUGCAAGGGGCCUGGGGAAAUGAGCGGAUUCAUCAGGUACACUGCAACCGUACAUGAAAGGAAAGUUCUGUCAAUAAAGAAGAGCGAAAUCUACAUUUGGUCAGGAAACAGCAUUGCCUGCAAUAUGCCUCAUAUGAAAUAAAGCCUUUCUUGCCCCCA
Molecule: long non-coding RNA, 1128 nt
Filed under: Homo sapiens (human)
Lineage: Eukaryota; Metazoa; Chordata; Mammalia; Primates; Hominidae
Description: HSALNT0331967
Source: RNAcentral